This 7072-nucleotide long non-coding RNA is filed under the name Solanum tuberosum (potato). RNAcentral describes it as "long non-coding RNA (STUB_LNC011842)". Lineage: Eukaryota; Viridiplantae; Streptophyta; Magnoliopsida; Solanales; Solanaceae. The record is from RNAcentral.
AUUUCUUAUAUAAAAAAAAAGAAAAAAAUUUACUACUAAUAAUAAUAAUAUUAGAGUUUUUGUCACACCUAAAUUAGCAAUAUUUAGUGCUAUUUUAGGCAUACUUCUUGGUAUUUGUAGCUACCUCUACAACUUUGGCAUGUCUUAUCUCCCCAUUUCGAUUUCUUCUCUCCUUGGUUCAACGUCCCUAGCAUUCACCGCGAUUUUCGGCGUAUUUCAUGGUGAAACAUAAGUUCACAGAUUAUUCCGUGAACGCGGUGGUGUUGAUGAUGUUAGGGUCGAUUAUCUUAGGGUUACACAUGAAUAGAGAUCGUCCGAUAGGUGAAUCGAAUCAACGAUACAUGUUAGGGUUUGUGAUGACACUUGUUGGUGCGGCUGUUCAUGGAUUUGUAAAUGCAGGAGUUGAGUAUAGUCAUGUUAAAGCUGGAGUUGUUGUCACGUUUGAUCUUGUCAUGCAAAUGCAAUUUGUUAUAUCAAUGUUCUCAACUUUGUUUUGUAUCGUCGCAAUGAUUAUCAACAAAGAUUUUCAGGUAACCGCCUCUUUUUAAAGUUUAAGAAGUUAGAAAAAAAUUACUUUUAGGCAUGUAAAUAGUCAUAGUAACGUACGAUAUCCAUUUUAUUUUAGCAUUUUACGUAUAUAAACUAGUAAAUUAGAAGUAUGCAUAGAUUUUAUAUUACAAGUGUAAUUUAAUCUACAAUAACAUGUUAUUUAUCUUAUAUGAGAAAUUAAAUAGUCUAGCAAAGGAAACAUUAUAUUACAAAUUUUAAAGUAGUUAAAAGAAUUUAAAUUCAUAAAAGUCGUGAAAACACUAUAUAAAGUAAUAUAAUUGCUUCGUUCUGCUUUAUGUUAUAGUUUGAAUCGACCAUGAUGACGGAACUUACCAAAGAAAUGAAGAUUUCUAAAAGGAAAAAAGAAGAAAGAAAGAAUUAGAGUUAACAAUGACAUGAACUUUCUUUCUCUUAAAAAAAAACUUCUUUUUUUUGAGUGGAAAGAAAAAAAAGCUUCCUUUUCAAAAGAUAACUAAGCAGUGUCAAUGACAUGAACUUUUUUUAUUUUCAGAGUGAAAAAGAAAUUUUAAGUAAUUAUUUUCAAAGAUAAUAAAGGGGAUAUGUUCAAGCAUGAGCCAUUUAUCUUUCUUUUUAGUCCGUUUAUACAAAAUAUCUUCUCUCUAUAUUUAGUAAUUCUUUAAUUAAUUCCAAUAUUUUACAUGACUUUUUUUAAAAUUAUAAGAUUCAAAGGAAAUUUUUGAUAUAUUACAUAUAUGCCUGCAUCUCCAAUUUAAGACCACAAAAUUAAAAGAUUUCUUUUUAGUUUUCUAAAACUUCAUGCAUAGUCAAACUACAACGCUUAAAUUAACAUCGAGAAAGUACUUUUUCUUUAAGAGUUUAAGAUAUAUACGUCGUCCAUAUAAAUCAUAUGCACACAACACAUCAGAUCCUCUUCACAUGUUAUAGCAAGUAACCUGCUGUUUUAUUUGCAUGCAAGAUUACAAAUCUCAUAUCUUAAGGAUGUCUGCCGAGCUAUAAAUAUUCUUUGAAUAACCUGACAGUGUAAGGAAAUCUUUUUAACAAUAUGUAGGCCAUCAUUAGAGAAGCUGAAGAAUUUGGAUUAGGGCAAAAAAAGUACUAUAUGAUAUUAGCAUUAACAGCAAUAUCUCUACAAACUAUGAUGAUUGGAAGUCUUGGGAUGAUUUUCUGCUCCUCAGCACUAUUGUUUGGGAUAGUAAAUGCACUUCUAAAUUCCAAAUACAACAAAUAUUUGCUGUCAUUUUCUGCCUGAAAGCUUCAAUUCUGACAAGUGGAUGGCUUUAGCUAUGUGUCUUUGGGGUUUUGUCUUUCUUAUUUCUAUGGAGAAUAUAAAGAUAGCAUGACCAACAAGGUUACAAAAAAUAAACCAUGCUACCCUGCCAGACCAAGUUUGAAUAACAUUAAUGCUACUUUUGUAUUCAGUGGUGUACCCAGAAUUUUAUGUAAGUAAUUUAUUAGUAUUACAACUCUGUCAGUAUGGGAGUUUGGGUCGUCUUGGAUUGUGGAGUUCUUUUAAGACGUUUAUUUUCGAUUGUAAAUUGAUGCAUGUUUAUUUUAAUACUUUUUAAGCGAUGUCAGCAUGUUGAGUAUUUAUAGUGGCGGAGCCAGAAUUUUUUUUAAAAAAAAUUAUGCCAAGGAAAUUUAACAAUUACUUAUAUAUAUUAUAUGCAAAAAAGAUAAAAUAAAUAAUUUUUAGGGCAAACCACAUAAAUCUCACUAGUUUAGGUCUUAAUUAUUAAGAUUCCCAAUAGUUUCAAAUAUUACUUCAUGUACCAUAUUUUAUGCUUGAAUCAAUGAGAUACAUGUAUCUGCCGAAUUUUAAAAUUGAGAUACAAAAUUUAUUUAUUUAAAUUAAUUGUUUGGAACUAAUUUCCUUAAUUAGAGGAGUAAUUGAGGAUUUUCAAAAUACAUAGAUAAUUAAUUUCAUUUUAUUAUUCUUUAAAAUAGUAAAUUCAUUAAUAUUAUUAAUAUAAGAUAACAACACAUAUAUCUUGGUAAUGCGAUUUGAUUAAUUUCAAAUUAUUACUCUUAAAAUAAUAAAUUCAUUAAUUUGAUGUAUCUAUUAUCAAUAUAUGAUGUAUCNNNNNNNNNNNNNNNNNNNNNNNNNNNNNNNNNNNNNNNNNNNNNNNNNNNNNNNNNNNNNNNNNNNNNNNNNNNNNNNNNNNNNNNNNNNNNNNNNNNNNNNNCAUAUGUUAUAUCCAAAAACAUGUAUCUCGAAUACAUAAUAAGCAUAUACAUUUAAUUAUGUGUAUCUAAAUAUGAAAUGUAGCUGAAACACAUGAAUUUAGGAACAAAUCACGACUGUAGAGUAUCUGUCGUAUCAUUAAUAUCAUCGUGUUGUUAAAAAUCAUGUAUCCAAAAUUUAAUGGUGGAUACAUAUACAUGGUCAGACACCCCAUUACUAAAAAUACAACUCAGAUCUUAAUUAAGAUUACUACUUAUUGGAUACACAUGUUUCAAGGGCUAUAUCAAAGUAAUAUUGGUACUACCAAAUCCAUGUCACGGUAACCAAAGAAAGCCUUAGAAGAACACCAACAAACAAAAACUCUCUACAAUACUCCCUUUGAUCCUUUUGCGUUGUGGUAUAACAUAAUCAAAACUAAGAUCCAUUUCUUCCGGAGACAAACAAUCAAGACACACUCUGAAUUAAAGUUUUCUCUGUAGCAGUUACUUUGAUUUGAUCUAGUUAUAAAUGAACAAUACAAAAUAAUAUUUGAGUUCAGGAGAAUUUGUCGGCCAUGGUGAUGAUAUCUUGAGAAGAAGAGAGUAGAUUAGCUUUGUUGGAAUGAAAUUGUACAAUGAAAUUCUUGAAUCAUAAAGGAGGAGACAUAAUUGAAUGAUAAAUAUGGGAGGGGAGAAUUAAGAGAUAGUGGUUGAUUUGGAGUGAAAGAGUUAAUUAAGCAGAUAAUUAAUCAAUCCUAAUUUUAAGAUAUGUGGGUAUCUAAUAAUCUAAUUGUAUCUUCAAAUAAUAUAUUAAUAUAUGGUAUAAAAUAUUAAAAGUGGUAAUAUAUGUAAUUGUUUGAAAGUAAAGAUAAUAUUAGUAUAUAUAGUAGUGAUGUAUGUCUAAUAAGGUAGUUUAUCCUAAUUUUUACCCUAUUUACCUGCAUAUAUAGUACAAUUUUUCAACAAAGAAGCUUCGACCCCUAUGCCCAAUAUGUAAAUAUAUGUUAUGAGUGUAUAUAUAUUAUCGAAGGCGGAGCUACAGUAUUAGAUACUAUACUAGCUAGUUUCAUGUUUAUUUCUAACUUGGUCAUCAAAUGUUUUAUGUAUUGCUUUAGUUCAAGCAACAAAUUGUAUUUAAUGCUCUUUCGUUACAUGAUUUCUUCUUCAUAUAAAUAUAUAUAGAAUCUAUGAAGUAGAUUUUGUGCUAUAAUCCUUCCUAUUUGAUAGAAAAGGAUCCCAUGAUCCUGAACUGAUCUUACCUGGGGUUGCAAAUUCCAAGUUUGUCUAUGAAGAGCAGAUUUAAUUAUAUUAGUGUCUAUAAUUAAUUUCUUUUGUGUAAUAUUAAUUGAUAAGUGUAUAUUUUAUAAAUAAUUAUAUAUUAUAUCAAUCCCUCCGUCUCAUGUUAGAUGUACAUCUUACUGAAAAUAUUUGUCUCGUAUUACUUGAUCACUUACUAAAUCAAAAUAGAAUUAAUUAAAUUUUCUCGUUUUACCCUUACAAUUAAUAUGACUUUUGGAAGUUUAAACAAAUUUUAAAGAUUUAAUUUUUUAAGAGUCUAAUUAAUAUGAACAAAGGACAAAAUAGUAAAAUUGAUCAAUCUAUUAUUGAUUUCUUAAUCACCAUGUUAAAUAGAAAUCGUUCAUCUAAUAUAAAACAAAUGGAAUAUUAUAUAAAUAUAAUGUAUAACCAAAUAUAUAUGAUGUAUGAUUAAUAAAUUAUGUAUUGCUGAUGUAUAUAUACAUCCAUCCUGGUUUUAAAAAAAAAUAUUUAUCACUAUAUGGUGGUGAGACCUCUAUAUUGAUGAAUAAAAUUGCCAAGCUAAGGAGAGCUUAAGCUCGACCCAUUGUUCCAGUAGUUGCUUAGCAAAAACUAAGAUUCUGAUAAAAACUAUACUAAUUUGGGACAAAUUUACAAGUCCAGCAUAGUAGACAAAAUUAGCUAUAACAUUUUAACUGGAUCAGUUCUAUACAAAAUAAUUCUUCCUCUGCUUAUACCUUAGAGACUCCACUUGUAUGAGAUCAAGUUUGUAAGAUCCGAUGGCUAUCGAUGGUAGGUGAGCCUAUGCAAAAAUCAUCCUGGGUCAAUGUAACUACACUCCUGAUGAGUUGGUACUUGAAGUUUCACCUUAUCGGUAAAAAAAUAAUUUUCCAUCUUGUAAUUCAAUGCCCUUUCCUAUUUUCCCAACCACAAUAAAUAAGUAAAGUAGUAGAAGAAAAAAUCAUUAUCUGGAUUACAUGGUGAGGCAAAUUAAAGGAAAAAUUAAGCUUAAGAAUUACACAACUUAUUUAGAAUCGCAAUCAAGUAAACAUCACUUUUUUCAUAUGCUUGAAAUUGAUCCAUAAUAGUAGGGGUGUGUAUUGAUCGGUUCGAUUUUAUAUAUUAUUGGUUCGGUUUAUUGGUUUUCAAUUUUUAAAUACGUUAAAUUAACCAAUAACUAAACCGAUAUUUCUUAUCGAUUUUGAUCCUUAACAGUUCGAUUUUCGAUUUAACCAAUAAGAAAAUACUUAUAAAACAAAUAUAUGACUUCUUUAAUAAAUUUGACGCGACAACACAAUAAUGUAACUUUACAAAUGCUCAUAAAAUAGAAACAAUAAUAAAAACAUGAAAAGAACUAUACAAGUGUAACACAAAGAGUAAUUAAGAGGAAUGUUUGGUUCUUACUUUAAUUAGGUUUUGACAUUUUGUAAAAUGUGAAGUUGUGAACCUAAAGUCACUGUGACGUGUGAAUUGAAGGCUAAAGGACAAAGAAAUAACUAGUAAGAUAUUGAAUUGAUAUUUAAUAUUUAUGUACAAGUAAAAGUAGUAAAUUACUAGUCUUAAUGGGUUAUUGGUUUACCCAAUAAUCCAAUAUUAAAAAUCAAUACCAAAUCGAUAAUCCAAGUUUUUUCUUCUAUAAAACCAUUAAAAACUCGUUAAUCCAAUAAUACAUUUUCAAUUCGAUUUAUCAAUCGAUUCAAUUUUCCACCAAUAGCGUAAAUUUCUUUUUCAUAUGGCACCUUAGUGCUUGUCCACUUUUUCACAAAUGACAAAAAAAAAAAUCCAAAUAUAAGUUUUAAAAAAUAGGGCAAUCCAAAAUAUCAUAACAAUAGCAAUAAGCAUUAUUGACUUCAUUUUUGCUUUUGACAAAAAGUAGAUUCAUCAUUAAACACUUCUACCUUUCAUUAAUUUCAAGAAUCAAUUAUGCUUUUGUAUAUCAAUAUUAAAUUCGUAAGUAUAGUUUGAAUAAUUUUUAUUAAAAAUGCUAAUUAAGCCAAACAAUCAUAUGAUGUUACAUUGCCUUAUUACUAGGAUACUCUACUUUUCUUCCUACACAAUAAUGUUAGUAGCUUGUGCAACAACUAGAAUCUCUAUUCUACAAUAAUAAUAAUAAUAAUAAUAAUCCUUUUUUGGACUUCCAAUAUUGACAUCCUCGUGGAUUUAAUUUAUACAUAUACUAUAUUAUCAACGAUGGCGGUGAAAUGGAUAGAAUAUAGUCUACUCUUAACUAAAGGAGCAAAAUCGAAGGAUCUUAUUCCACCUUAUUCUUCACUAUUCUUAAUUAAUAAUCUCAAAUUUGAGUCUAAAAAUGGAAAAGUUUAUGCUAGAGAGCACUUACCUUAGACCUCUGAUUAAGGAUGGAACAGUCUCACCACUGCAACACAACCCUUGUUGGUAUGUUUAAGUGUUAAUUAAAAUAAGUAAUAAUAUGAAGUUAAAAUUUGAAAUAGUUAUUAGAAAAUACUUUCAUAAAAAAAUAAAUGAUUCUCGUCGUACCAAAUACUAGAAAACAAUUUCCUUAAAAAACAUUUUCCCUCAAAAGACAAAUACACCUCAAUCUAAAGUCACUUUAAUUUCCUCUUUGGCUUAUAUGUACCACUAAUAAAUAUACCCCCACAAAUUAAUAUCUCUCAAACACAUUCACAAAAAAUAUGGACAUGGAAAUUGAGCAAGAGGGCAACUACAAUAAGCCUAAGAAACUCAAGAAUUUCAUGUCAAUUAAAACACUUCUUAUUCUCAUAUAUUGUAUCUUCCUUUUAGUUGGCCAAAUAUCAGGUGUAUUGCUUGUUAGAAUUUAUUAUUUACAUGGUGGAAAAAGAAAAUGGUUGCAAUCUUUAUUGCUAACAGCAGGAUUCCCAAUCUUGAUUUUACCAAUUUCAAUUUCUUAUAUGAAAAAAAUGAAAAAAAUUACUAUCAACAAUAAUAAUAUUAGACUUUUUGUCACACCUAAAUUAGCAAUAUUUAGUGCUAUUUUAGGUAUCCUUUUUGGUAUUUGUAGCUACCUCUACACUAUUGGCAUGUCAUAUCUUCCCGUUUCGAUUUCCUCUCUCCUCUCUUCAACGUCCCUUGCAUUUACCGCGAUUUUCGCGUAUUUCAUGGUAAAACAUAAGUUCACACAUUAUUC